AUUAAAUGAAAAAAUACACAACAAUAAUCCGGGUAUCAAAAUCUCGAAAAAAUUUCGCUAUAUAAGAAAAUCCCGUUCACUGAUUUUCUUUCAAAUUUUGUUUAUACCGGUUUGCCUCUCUAAUCAUUAUCUAAUAAUCUCGUAAGUUGACCUAGAACCGGCUACGUUUCAUUAUGGGUGCGCCACAUAUCUACCAAACAGCAAACUAACCGCAAACUGCUGRAAAUUUCUGCCAAAAAAAAUUUCUGUGGAGCGACAUCUACAAUAGCGAGGUACGAAAUAGCAUGUAAGUCCCGCCCUAUUUUGUUUCCAUUCUAAGGGGGGAUAUUUUGUGAUUUUAAUAGUAAAUUUCCAUAUAUCGUUUCUGAAAAAUUCGUAUGCAAAUUGCGCAGGCGCACUGUACUGUAAAGACGCGUAGAUAAUAGUACAAGACCAACUAACAAAAUCAUAAUAUCACGCACUCAAGUUAUUUAUUCAAGUAUUUUAUAGUAUGAAGACUACAGGCUAAAUUUCGAGCGGUGUUGCCAACCUUCACAAAACGUUUUAAGUUCUUGUAAAUUGUUUCCUGGGAUACCUAGCAAGCAGAUCCACUAAGUUUGGGUCGGUUUAGAUUAUUUAGCUAUUUUGUUGAUUUUUGAUGACCUGAAACACGACUUAGCAGCAAAUGGCACCGGACAAUCUCAAUUUCCUGCAUAAAUGAGUGAUUUUGGAAAAGCGAAUUUCAAAAGUGUGUGAAAUAAGAAAAACGAAAAAUCGGAGUAAGUCAAACGGCACGAUCAUCGUUUUUGAAAAUAUUUUCUACAAGGUGAGCACUUUUUUAACGACGCAUGAUUUCCCUUCAAAUAGCACCUUCAAAACAAAUUUUGACUAUGAUGUCUACGCAAUUUAACUGAUUUAAAAUCACUAUAGCACAGACUACUCACUAUUAUAGACUAUAGUCAUGGUGACGAUGUAGAACAAUUGCAUUUAUCAGACGUCGAACAAAGAAUGAUUGCUGCGAAAUUCAUCCUGGAAGUUCCAACAAAAAGGUAAAGUAUAAUAUAAUGUGAAAUAUAAAGUAAGUCAC
Molecule: long non-coding RNA, 1066 nt
Organism: Dendroctonus ponderosae (mountain pine beetle)
Lineage: Eukaryota; Metazoa; Arthropoda; Insecta; Coleoptera; Curculionidae
Exons: 3
Source: RefSeq, a predicted model, not a curated record